CCUACGGGUGGCAGCAGUGGGGCAUAUUGCACAAUGGGGGAAACCCUGAUGCAGCGACGCCGCGUGAGUGCAGCCGUAUUUCGGUAUGUAAAGCUCUCUCAGCCGGGAAGCAGCAAGCCGGUACCUGCCUACGACGCCCCUGCUAACUACGUGCCAGCAGCCGAGGUACUUCGCAGGGGGCAGGCGUUAUCCGGAUUUACUGGGUGUAACGGGAGCGUCGACGGUAUGGCAAGUCUGAAGUGAAAGCCCAGGGCUUAACCCUGAGACUGCUUUGGAAACUGUUCGACUAGAGUGCUGGAGAGGUAAGUGGAAUGCCUGGUGUAGCGGUGAAAUGCGUAGAUAUUAGGAGGAACACCAGUGGCGAAGGCGGCUUACUGGACAGUAACUGACGUUGAGGCUCGAAAGCGUGGGGAGCAAACAGGACUAGAUACCCGUGUAGUC
RNAcentral lists this ribosomal RNA (441 nucleotides) under uncultured bacterium. RNAcentral's name for it is "partial 16S ribosomal RNA". It matches the Rfam family "Bacterial small subunit ribosomal RNA", at positions 338 to 795 of the family's 1533-position model. The record is from RNAcentral.